This 253-nucleotide ribosomal RNA is filed under the name uncultured bacterium. Its description in RNAcentral is "partial 16S ribosomal RNA". It matches the Rfam family "Bacterial small subunit ribosomal RNA", at positions 524 to 776 of the family's 1533-position model. The record is from RNAcentral.
UACGUAGGGUGCAAGCGUUAAUCGGAAUUACUGGGCGUAAAGCGUGCGCAGGCGGUGAUGUAAGUCAGGUGUGAAAUCCCCGGGCUUAACCUGGGAACUGCAUUUGUGACUGCAUCGCUGGAGUGCGGCAGAAGGGGAUGGAAUUCCGCGUGUAGCAGUGAAAUGCGUAGAUAUGCGGAGGAACACCGAUGGCGAAGGCAAUCCCCUGGGCCUGCACUGACGCUCAUGCACGAAAGCGUGGGGAGCAAACAGG